This 1523-nucleotide long non-coding RNA is filed under the name Phasianus colchicus (ring-necked pheasant). RNAcentral's name for it is "lncRNA (ENSPCLG00000006143.1)". Lineage: Eukaryota; Metazoa; Chordata; Aves; Galliformes; Phasianidae. The record is from RNAcentral.
AUUUGUUACAUAUCCUGUCUACUUGGAGAGAACAGAAGUGAGUGCUGCUUCCAGACAAGCCACUUUUUGUUGUUUAGGGAGAUGCACUACACGGGUUGGCAGGAGUGUGUGGGUGCUCAAGAAGAUAAGACCAAAAAGGAGGAGACACUGAAGCAGGAGGGUUUCUACAGGCCUCCCAGUGUUGGGACAGGAAUCCACUCACCAAUCCCCAAUACUAUGAAUGAAUUCGGGAGUUGAGAUAGCUUCUUCUGGAGUCUGUUUUCUUGCUUUUUAAAGGAACCCUUGGGUGUUCAUCCUAUUUCUUUUUCGUUUGCUCAGUGAAGCCAAAUUUGUACCUGCUAACAGGGCAGAUGGGUGCAUUUUUGCUUUGCCCACCAGGGAAGCAAAUUCUUUCUUAGUUCCAGAUACAAGAGCUGAACACCAGGAUCAUUCAAAUACUGGCAACUUGAAGCCAUGAAUUACAAACUAAGCACAAUUGCCCCAUUUUGAAUGCAAGAAAAAGCAUCUUUUUUACUUUUAAAAAAUGACACAACAAUGGGAUACAUUUUUAGAAUCACAGAAUGGCCUGGGUUGAAAAGGAUCACAAUGGCCAUCUGGUUUCAACCCCCUGCUAUGUGCAGGUCACCAACCAGCAGACCAGGCUGCCCAGAGCCACAUCCAGCCUGGCCUUGAAUGCCUCCAGGGAUGGGGCAUCCACAGCCUCCUUGGGCAACCUGUUCCAGUGCCUCACCACCCUCUGUGUGAAAAACUUCCUCCUAAUAUCCAACCUAAACCUCCCCUGUCUCAGUUUAAAGCCAUUCCCCUUGUCCUAUCACUAUCCACCCUUGUAAACAGCCGUUCCCCCUCCUGUUUAUAAGCUCCCUUCAAGUACUGAAAGGCCACAAUGAGGUCUCCCCAAAGCCUUCUCUUCUCCAAGCUCAAUAAGCCCAAUUCCCUCAACCUUUCCUCACAGGAGAGCUGCUCAAGCCCUCUGACCAUCUCAGUGCCCUCCUCUGGACCCGCUCCAAGAGCUCUGCAUCUUUCUUGUACUGGGGGCCCCAGGCCUGGACGCAGUGCUGCAGAUGGGGCCUCACAAGACACUGUCAUAGAAUUUAAAGGGUCAUGGAUUGUAAAAUCAUUAAGAUUGGAAAAAGCCUCCAAGAUCGUCACAUUCAACCAUCACCACCAUGCCCACUCAUAGAAUCAUUCAGGCUGGAAGGGGCUGGUCCCUGUGUCCCUAUGUCUAAAGGCUUCCCGAAGCUUGGAGAGGAGGAUUUCCGUGCAAGUUCUCACCCCACCUUUUAAUUACACCUAAACAGCUCAUUAUGGUUCUACUACAAACUUUGCUCACAAGAACAUCCUGCAACAUGCAUUGAGCAUGUACCAACAGUGCAUACCUACACACUGGGUCUCAUACAUCACUCUGUUUUUAUUCACUGGAAGAUCUUAGGAAAUCUCCCUGCUCCAUUUGGGGCAGAGCGAGCACCAACGCUCGUUUCCAUAUUAAUUGCAAACAUGAAAUAAAUGCGCUGUUAAGACACGCA